AACGAACGCUGGCGGCAGGCCUAACACAUGCAAGUCGAGCGGACCCUUCGGGGUUAGCGGCGGACGGGUGAGUAACGCGUGGGAAUAUGCCCUUCUCUACGGAAUAGUCCUGGGAAACUGGGAGUAAUACCGUAUACGCCCUUUGGGGGAAAGAUUUAUCGGGGAAGGAUUAGCCCGCGUUGGAUUAGGUAGUUGGUGGGGUAAUGGCCUACCAAGCCGACGAUCCAUAGCUGGUUUGAGAGGAUGAUCAGCCACACUGGGACUGAGACACGGCCCAGACUCCUACGGGAGGCAGCAGUGGGGAAUCUUAGACAAUGGGGGCAACCCUGAUCUAGCCAUGCCGCGUGAGUGAUGAAGGCCUUAGGGUUGUAAAGCUCUUUCAGCUGGGAAGAUAAUGACGGUACCAGCAGAAGAAGCCCCGGCUAACUCCGUG
Molecule: ribosomal RNA, 433 nt
Filed under: uncultured bacterium
Lineage: Bacteria
Description: partial 16S ribosomal RNA
Rfam family: Bacterial small subunit ribosomal RNA
Source: RNAcentral